CAAGACCUGUUUAGAGGAUAACAAUCCUACCAUUCAAUCACUUUUAUUCUUUCUACCAUAGACCAACUAAUAGAAUGACUAAAUAGUUUAUCUGCUUCUCACUUUUCAAAAAACUUUUGGUUUCAGAUGUCACUUUCCUUAAUAUAUUCAUUGCAGCAUCAUCUUGAUGUUUUGGAAUUCAUAUUCUUUGUCUGUCCCAUACAAAAGAAUGAGGAAUUAAUAAAAAUAGCUUAUUGAGUCUUAAGAUCUCUUUUCUUUUGUUUUGCUUUGACCAAAAUUUGAAAAGAAAUAAAAAAAAUUACAUAAAGAGUACUGCUGUUGAAUAUGUGACCUUUUAAGAGAAAAAAAAUGGAAGAUGGAGUAAGCACAGCAAAGAGAUGUAUGGAAUAAAAUAAAAUUGAAAAAAGAAAUGAAGAAGAUUAAAAUGAUAGAAUUAGAGGGCAACCUUCUUCCAUAUUUAUCUGACAAUAAGCCCCACGAAUAUGCUCCAACCAUCAUACCAACAAAAACCACAGUGGUUAUUAGGCUUUCUUGCUUAGAAGUAAGUCCCCAUGUAUGCUGAACUGCGGGUCCAACAUAUGAGAGAAUCAUCAUC
Molecule: unclassified non-coding RNA, 595 nt
Filed under: Hevea brasiliensis (rubber tree)
Lineage: Eukaryota; Viridiplantae; Streptophyta; Magnoliopsida; Malpighiales; Euphorbiaceae
Source: RNAcentral